GGAUUAGAUACCCUGGUAGUCCACGCCGUAAACGAUGUCUACUAGCAGUUUGGAGCUUAAGCUCUGUCUUGCGCAGCUAACGCAUUAAGUAGACCGCCUGGGGAGUACGGCCGCAAGGUUAAAACUCAAAUGAAUUGACGGGGGCCCGCACAAGCGGUGGAGCAUGUGGUUUAAUUCGAUGCAACGCGAAGAACCUUACCAUCUCUUGACAUCCAGAGAAUUUAGUAGAGAUACUUUAGUGCCUUCGGGAACUCUGAGACAGGUGCUGCAUGGCUGUCGUCAGCUCGUGCCG
RNAcentral lists this ribosomal RNA (292 nucleotides) under uncultured bacterium. Its description in RNAcentral is "partial 16S ribosomal RNA". It matches the Rfam family "Bacterial small subunit ribosomal RNA", at positions 775 to 1067 of the family's 1533-position model. The record is from RNAcentral.